GACCCUCUGACUGAACAGGCGUCUGUGACC
Molecule: non-coding RNA, 30 nt
Filed under: Homo sapiens (human)
Lineage: Eukaryota; Metazoa; Chordata; Mammalia; Primates; Hominidae
Source: RNAcentral